UGAAGCUUUAAGCCUCAUCUUUGCCAUGUCCACUGGGUUUACACCGAAGAUAGCCUUCAUGCUUUCCAGACUGCAGGCGUGGAGGACUCUCUGAAGAAGGUCAUCGUCUUUACGCAAUGAAGUUCCGUGGCCUUCGCCAAGAAAGUCGGCGAUUUUGAGCACUUGCUCCCUGGUGUCCACCUUCAGUUGUU
This 191-nucleotide long non-coding RNA is filed under the name Dermacentor andersoni. Its description in RNAcentral is "uncharacterized LOC126534158". Lineage: Eukaryota; Metazoa; Arthropoda; Arachnida; Ixodida; Ixodidae. The record is from RNAcentral.